RNAcentral lists this ribosomal RNA (253 nucleotides) under uncultured bacterium. RNAcentral describes it as "partial 16S ribosomal RNA". It matches the Rfam family "Bacterial small subunit ribosomal RNA", at positions 524 to 776 of the family's 1533-position model. The record is from RNAcentral.
GACGAACCGUGCGAACGUUAUUCGGAAUCAUUGGGCGUAAAGGGUGCGUAGGCGGCGCGGUAAGUCGGGUGUGAAAUCUCGGAGCUUAACUCCGAAACUGCAUUCGAUACUGCCGUGCUUGAGGACUGGAGAGGAGACUGGAAUUUACGGUGUAGCGGUGAAAUGCGUAGAUAUCGUAAGGAAGACCAGUGGCGAAGGCGGGUCUCUGGACAGUUCCUGACGCUGAGGCACGAAGGUCAGGGGAGCAAACGGG